AGUGAACGCUGGCGGUAGGCCUAACACAUGCAAGUCGAACGGCAGCACAGUAAGAGCUUGCUCUUACGGGUGGCGAGUGGCGGACGGGUGAGGAAUACAUCGGAAUCUACUUUUUCGUGGGGGAUAACGUAGGGAAACUUACGCUAAUACCGCAUACGACCUACGGGGGAAAGCAGGGGAUCUUCGGACCUUGCGCGAUUGAAUGAGCCGAUGUCGGAUUAGCUAGUUGGCGGGGUAAAGGCCCACCAAGGCGACGAUCCGUAGCUGGUCUGAGAGGAUGAUCAGCCACACUGGAACUGAGACACGGUCCAGACUCCUACGGGAGGCAGCAGUGGGGAAUAUUGGACAAUGGGCGCAAGCCUGAUCCAGCCAUGCCGCGUGGGUGAAGAAGGCCUUCGGGUUGUAAAGCGCUUUUGUUGGGGAAGAAAAGCAGCAGGUUAAUACCCCGCUGUUCUGACGGUACCCGAAGAAUAAGCACCGGCUAACUUCGUG
This 492-nucleotide ribosomal RNA is filed under the name uncultured bacterium. Its description in RNAcentral is "partial 16S ribosomal RNA". It matches the Rfam family "Bacterial small subunit ribosomal RNA", at positions 29 to 507 of the family's 1533-position model. The record is from RNAcentral.